RNAcentral lists this transfer RNA (72 nucleotides) under Marmota monax (woodchuck). RNAcentral describes it as "tRNA.Ala". It matches the Rfam family "tRNA". Rfam says of the family: Transfer RNA (tRNA) molecules are approximately 80 nucleotides in length. Lineage: Eukaryota; Metazoa; Chordata; Mammalia; Rodentia; Sciuridae. The record is from RNAcentral.
AAGGGUGUAGUUCAGAGAUAGAGCAUGUGUCUAGCAUGCACUAAGCCCUGAGUUCCAUUCUCAGCAUCCAAA